GAACCGAUUUUUUCCCCUGCUCCUGCUAUCUGUCGUCUCUAGCAUCACUGCUGCGUAAACUAGACCAAACUGGACUUUGGAGCUCACGAGUAGCGCUGCAAUUGCCGUCAUGAAACGAGUUGAUGUAGCUGCUAAGAUAUUGCUCCGCCACAAUUUUGCAAGCUCGAGUGAUGCUCCAUAGUCAUCUGUAGUAUCAAUGAUGCUCUCUGCGGAUAUUUGAUUUUCACCGCACAAUUGGCUAUUCUACUCUACAGCUCAUGGAAGGCAUAAAUAUUUUCUUCAUGCUAUUAGUUUUUCUCCUGAACAAGCUAAUUAUGUUGGACUGGUAGGUUCUUAGGCUCGCUGUGGCCAAGCAGAAUGUAUCUGUUACAAAUCAUUUGGAUUUUUCUCAUCUUGUGCUUCGAACUUCAAAAGUGCCAUGUUCUCAGUAUCAUGUGUUUGCAAUUAUGUUCAUUGUGUAUCAAUACCUAGAUGCUCACACUUAGUUUAGGACGAGUUAAAAAUCAUUCAUGUAAUAUUAGCAGCUCUUCAUACCUGUAUGUGCAUAACUGAAGAAGCUCUUCAUAUCCUGUAAUAGAUUCUGCUGUGUCUGCUGCUUGUUUUAUAGUUUAUAGUUAGAGCCUGCUCCGUUUUAUAUGAUAAUAGAAUAAAAGAAGAAAGAGACUGAGGUUUUUUUCUUGAGCUCUUUUACGGUGCACAAUACUACCAGGUGGUAGUAUAGAGUAUAGGUUCUUUUUUGGCAUGGGUACAAUUGUAAUUAGCACGACAUAUAUUAUUUGGGGAAUUUUUUUUCGCGAGCCAUUUUCCCCGCGCACGGCCGCCCCGCCCCCACCCGCACGCCGCGCGCCCGUUGUGCCGCGCCUCCACCGCCCGCACGCAGCCCCGCCGGUCGCGCCGCCAUGCCCUCGCACCGCCCCACCCGUUGCGCCGCCACCGCCGCCUCGCUGGCACCGCCCGCACGCCGCCUCGCCCGUCGCGCCGCCACAGCCAGCACUCGGCACCAUCAGAAGCAAGUCUUCUCCUUGGAGAAACCCCUCAAGAUGGAAUUGACGAGCUGACUACUCUGUUGUCCUUUUCAGCAAAAUCCAUAUUUCUCGCAAUAUCAUUAACACCAUCAGAGGCGAGUCGCCUUCUUGGUGAAACCCCUCUUGAUGAAGCUGGCCUCCUAUCUUUUUCAGGGAAAUCAACACUUUUCGAUAAAGUACCAAUGCCACCAGAAGUAGUUCUUCUAGGUGAAAGUCCUCUUGAUGAAGACAGGUUGGAAACGGGUCCAUUAGUCUCUCAGAUGAUUUUGCGGUAGUCUGUGAUGCAGCAUUAGACACACUUGACACCGAUGCACUUGGUGAAAUGCUGGGUGAUGAAACUGAUGAGGAGAGUGUACUGUUAUCAUUUUCAGGAUGCAGGUUUGAGAUCUUUACCAACACCGAUGCUUUUAGGCACAUCAUUUGCACCACUAGAAGCAGGUGAUCUUCUUGGUGAACCCCCUCGUGAUGACACUGACGAAGAGACCAAGCGGUCAAUUUUAUCAGCAAGAUCAAUACUUCUUGACAAUGCAUUUGCAGCGGAGGACAUUGUUGUUCUCUUCGGUGAAACCCCACGAGAUGGAAAACCCCACGAGAUGGAACUGAUGGAAGAGCAGACCUACUAAUUUAUCAGUGAGAUCCAUGCUCUUAGACAUUGUUGUUCUCUUUCUUUUUUCCGUAUUUAAGUUAGACAGGGUUUUUGCAUUGCCACCGCAUGGAGUGUAAUCGGUACAAUCUGUUUCCUCGUACAAUAGUCUUAAUGCUGAUGUCUGGGUACGUUCCAGUGGAGAUUUUUGCUUGAAAGCCACUUGAAUCAA
Molecule: RNA transcript, 1840 nt
Organism: Setaria italica (foxtail millet)
Lineage: Eukaryota; Viridiplantae; Streptophyta; Magnoliopsida; Poales; Poaceae
Gene name: translation initiation factor IF-2
Exons: 2
Source: RefSeq, a predicted model, not a curated record